RNAcentral lists this unclassified non-coding RNA (214 nucleotides) under soil metagenome. RNAcentral describes it as "partial internal transcribed spacer 1". The record is from RNAcentral.
GCGAGACUCAGUGCUCCAAACACCUGUGAACCUACCAAAAAAUUUUCCUGCAGCGUUGUUUCGGCGGGUUUAGUCGGCGGAGUGGGGAAACUCUCUCUUCCGACGGGUUCGGCCUGGCCAGCCGAGCCGCCUGCCGGCAGCGCCAAACACUUUUAUUAUUUAUAGUGGAUUUUUUUCACUCUUCUGAGUGGUUAUUGUUAAGAAAACAAGCUAA